AUGUUUAUCCCACUCACCCUUCUCUUUCCUCCCACUAACCCCGGUCCAUUCCUUUUUAUCAACGUUGGAGUCGAGGCAAUCAUGGCGCCGAAGCGCUGGACAAAGCACGCGUCGCCGCCCUCCAAAUGUAAGUUCUUUCCAUGUCCAUGUCCAUGUCCUGGUAAGCACAUCCUCUUAUAUGUUUCUUCUACUUCAUCUCCAUGUCCUGGUAGUGCUCCAUCUCCAUGUGUUGGAUCUGCUCCAUGUCCAUAUGAUGGCUAUGUCGGUUGUGCUCUGUAUGUGUGGAAAUGUCAUGGUCUUGGAUCUGGUCUUUAG
Molecule: ribosomal RNA, 315 nt
Filed under: Triticum aestivum (bread wheat)
Lineage: Eukaryota; Viridiplantae; Streptophyta; Magnoliopsida; Poales; Poaceae
Description: partial small subunit ribosomal RNA
Source: RNAcentral